UUCUUACAAAUAGGAUGGUGUUCUUGAUU
Molecule: non-coding RNA, 29 nt
Filed under: Mus musculus (house mouse)
Lineage: Eukaryota; Metazoa; Chordata; Mammalia; Rodentia; Muridae
Also listed under: 1 other name
Source: RNAcentral